GUCAGGAUGGCCGAAGCGGUCUAAGGCGCUGCCGUUACGAGGUCUCCUCUGGAGGCGUGGGUUCAAAUCCCACUUCUGACA
Non-coding RNA from Ameiurus melas (black bullhead), 81 nucleotides. The record is from the annotation of a GenBank genome assembly. Lineage: Eukaryota; Metazoa; Chordata; Actinopteri; Siluriformes; Ictaluridae.